GCAAGUCGAAACGGCAGCAUGAUCUAGCUUGCUAGAUUGAUGGCGAGUGCGCGUAACGGGUGAGUAAUACAUCGGAACGUGCCCUGUAGUGGGGGAUAACUAGUCGAAAGAUUAGCUAAUACCGCAUACGACCUGAGGGUGAAAGUGGGGGACCGCAAGGCCUCAUGCUAUAGGAGCGGCCGAUGUCUGAUUAGCUAGUUGGUGAGGUAAAGGCUCACCAAGGCGACGAUCAGUAGCUGGUCUGAGAGGACGAUCAGCCACACUGGGACUGAGACACGGCCCAGACUCCUACGGGAGGCAGCAGUGGGGAAUUUUGGACAAUGGGGGCAACCCUGAUCCAGCAAUGCCGCGUGUGUGAAGAAGGCCUUCGGGUUGUAAAGCACUUUUGUCCGGGAAGAAAUCGCACUUAAUAAUACUAGGUGUGGAUGACGGUACCGGAAGAAUAAGGACCGGCUAACUACGUGCCAGCAGCCGCGGUAAUACGUAGGGUCCAAGCGUUAAUCGGAAUUACUGGGGCGUAAAGCGUGCGCAGGCGGUUGUGCAAGACCGAUGUGAAAUCCCCGAGCUUAACUUGGGAAUUGCAUUGGUGACUGCACGGCUGAGUGUGUCAGAGGGGGGGUAGGAAUCCACGUGUA
This 635-nucleotide ribosomal RNA is filed under the name Ralstonia insidiosa. Its description in RNAcentral is "bacterial SSU rRNA". It matches the Rfam family "Bacterial small subunit ribosomal RNA", at positions 57 to 677 of the family's 1533-position model. The record is from RNAcentral. Lineage: Bacteria; Pseudomonadati; Pseudomonadota; Betaproteobacteria; Burkholderiales; Burkholderiaceae.